This is a small nucleolar RNA of Dipodomys ordii (Ord's kangaroo rat), 94 nucleotides long. NCBI's taxonomy places the organism in Eukaryota, Metazoa, Chordata, Mammalia, Rodentia, Heteromyidae. The record is from Ensembl.
UCCCGAUGGUGAGUUGCCACCAUGUAGGGCAUUCUUGCCCUAGUUUGGGUGUCAGUGAGUUUAACAAUACUUCUAACAUGGAGAUCUGAGGGAC